GCCUGAGUGGCUCAGUCGGUUGAGCACUCGACUUGGGCUCAGGUCACGAGAGUUCAAGCCCCUCGUCGGGCU
RNAcentral lists this transfer RNA (72 nucleotides) under Felis catus (domestic cat). It matches the Rfam family "tRNA". Rfam says of the family: Transfer RNA (tRNA) molecules are approximately 80 nucleotides in length. Their secondary structure includes four short double-helical elements and three loops (D, anti-codon, and T loops). Lineage: Eukaryota; Metazoa; Chordata; Mammalia; Carnivora; Felidae. The record is from Rfam by way of RNAcentral.